AUUGCACAUAACCCUAGGUUUUGCCUACCUAUACUGUUCACACAGCACGUAAAUCUCCGCCCCCGAAGCAGUCCCCCAAAAUUAUUAUUACAUCAAGAACAACGUUUUACAGAGGCUAUUACAGCAUAAGUAAUAGCUAGAUUAAAGAAGAGAAUUAAAGAACAAUCCCCUCCCUAUCCCCGGGCGACUAUUCAAAAUCUCGUGUCGAAUUAGGCCUGCGAAACAAUACAUAAUAGCAAACAAACAAGAACAAACAUCGAAGUAUUCUUAUAGGCAUGUUCCUAAAAUCAUCAUGCAAUCAACACAUACACAGAGAAUAAAAUAAUUGCGUUGAUUCGUGAAUUUACCAGUAAAAGCAGUAAAAGAGAUAAUAAGAGUAAUAAAACCCAAGCAAUUUGUAAUAGUGAAAUACGCAAAGUGUUUUUCAGCAGCAUUACAAGAGAACCAAAGAACCUUUAAAGUAUCUAAUUGUUUUUGUAUAAAAGUAGGCAAGAAAGUAUUGAUUGUGAAUUGUGGAACUUAAGCCAUGUCCCCUUAAUGAAAAGAGAGGGGUUUGUUAUAUAGUGUAGAAAAAAAAUCAGUCGGCGCAAGUACAGAAGGGAAAAGAAUAUUUUAUGUCUUCAAUCAAUGAAGUUUCUUCCACAAAUAUCAAAAUUACCACUACGUUUGUCAAAUAAAUUAGUCAUCCCGCGCGUAAAAAAGGAAAAGAGAAUAUUUUCAAUCAAGGUUUUAGGGUCAAUUAAUCAAUUAUGGAGAGAUGAUUUCUUCUAAAUUACCCUAAAUCAGUGAGCAAAAAAUAUAUAUGUGAUCUAUUUAUGUUCAAAUAGGUGGAAAAAAGAGCCCUUGCCAUAAUUAACAGAUUGUCAUUAAAACAGAUUUCAAAACAUCAAGAAAUUAGUCUCAGAGCAAUUUGCUAAAAGAAAAGAUUUACCAUGUACGGGUACGGCCUACGGGUUGAUAUAAUUACACACAAACUCAAAUUUUCAACUGCCAAAAAUAAUCGCCUAAAAACCCAAGCUUGUCAAGACAAUCUUAGCAUAAAAGCGAUUUCGAAAAAUCAGUUUCAUAACAUUCUUCAAAAGGUAAAGACACUUGAAAACAUAACACAGGGUCAAAUCAUGUAAAUGUCAACUCAAGCAAGACGCGAUAAUUUCAAAGAGGAGAAAAUUCAGUACCCAAUUGAAGUUUGAGGUUGAAAUUAAGUAUCACCAAGAUUGGCAUUUUCACGCAAGCUAAUAGAAAAACAUAAAAUUUAAGGCAUUAUGUUAAAAUUCCUAAUCAUGCUUCACGAAUUUCAGAUCUAAAAUCAUGCAAAAUCACAGAGAACAAAGAACAAUUAAGGAAAUCAAACCAUAAGGAGACAUCAAACUCGAAAACAUUUAUAUUAUUAGCGGCUGAAAAGGGUUCGAAGGAGGAGUAAGGGUGGUCGCUGGUUGAAUUCUUGCCGCCUGUUCUCAUCCCGGCGUGGGGCUGGUUGUCGCCUGAAGGGGAGAACGGAGGGAGAGUUGGCGGUGGAGGGGGCUGGUGUUGCUGGUCGUUCUUGUUUCGCCGGAGACAGAGAUUUCUCCGGUGGUUGAGGCGGCGACGCUAGAGAGGAGUGACGCAGGUUGCUGGUGGCGGUGGCUGUUGUCAACGGAGGAAGAGGAGGAUGAAGAUGAAGGCGUCGUUGGUCAUGGCUAGUGCAGCGGUGUAGAGAGAGAAGAAAAAGAGGGGUCUCGCCGGUGACGGCGAGAGAGGGCGGCGGUAGAGGUUUUUUGAGAUAGAGAGAGUAGAGAAAUGGAGGCUGAUUUUUUGGAAAUUCGAUUUUGG
RNAcentral lists this long non-coding RNA (1809 nucleotides) under Capsicum annuum. RNAcentral describes it as "long non-coding RNA (CANN_LNC008569)". The record is from RNAcentral. Lineage: Eukaryota; Viridiplantae; Streptophyta; Magnoliopsida; Solanales; Solanaceae.